Molecule: signal recognition particle RNA, 313 nt
Filed under: Nitrososphaeraceae archaeon
Lineage: Archaea; Thermoproteati; Nitrososphaerota; Nitrososphaeria; Nitrososphaerales; Nitrososphaeraceae
Description: signal recognition particle sRNA
Rfam family: Archaeal signal recognition particle RNA
Source: RNAcentral
GAGACAGGGAGGAUCGGGGUGUUAGUCGUACCCCAUACCAGAAACCGACUUCAUGCUGGGAUCAGCAACCGCUGGGUAAAUCUACUGGUACAAGGUACCUGCUUGCCUAGCUGAAAUGAAGUCAUGCCGUGCCGGAUGGUUAUGAGCAGCAUGUCAUGCGAAGGCAUGGUCUUGACUGCGUAUAGUCGAAAUGGGUGAGGUCCGGGAGGGAGCAACUCUAAGAUUGCAUGGUUAUGCUGGCACGUCUACGUGGCAGAUCUCGCAAGGCUUGAGAGGGGGCUUUGGACCUUUAUUGGAACCAGUGGGCUGUCUC